CUGGUUGAUCCCGCCGGACCUGACUGCUAUCGGAUUGAUACUAAGCCAUGCGAGUCAUUGUAGUAAUACAAGGCAUACGGCUCAGUAACGCGUAGUCAACCUAACCUAUGGACGGGAAUAACCUCGGGAAACUGAGUAUAAUGCCCGAUAGAACAUUAUGCCUGGAAUGGUUUAUGUUCCAAAUGAUUUAUCGCCGUAGGAUGGGACUGCGGCCUAUCAGUUUGUUGGUGAGGUAAUGGCCCACCAAGACUAUUACAGGUACGGGCUCUGAGAGGAGUAGCCCGGAGAUGGGUACUGAGACACGGACCCAGGCCCUAUGGGGCGCAGCAGGCGAGAAAACUUUGCAAUGUGCGAAAGCACGACAAGGUUAAUCCGAGUGGUUUCUGCUAAAGGAACCUUUUGUUAGUCCUAGAAACACUAACGAAUAAGGGGUGGGCAAGUUCUGGUGUCAGCCGCCGCGGUAAAACCAGCACCUCAAGUGGUCAGGAUGAUUAUUGGGCCUAAAGCAUCCGUAGCCGGAUCUGUAAGUUUUCGGUUAAAUCUGUACGCUCAACGUACAGGCUGCCGGGAAUACUGCAGAUCUAGGGAGUGGGAGAGGUAGACGGUACUCGGGAGGAAGGGGUAAAAUCCUUUGAUCUCUCGAUGACCACCUGUGGCGAAGGCGGUCUACCAGAACACGUCCGACGGUGAGGGAUGAAAGCUGGGGGAGCAAACCGGAUUAGAUACCCGGGUAGUCCCAGCUGUAAACUAUGCAAACUCAGUGAUGCAUUGACUUGUGGUCAAUGCAGUGCUGCAGGGAAGCCGUUAAGUUUGCCGCCUGGGAAGUACGUACGCAAGUAUGAAACUUAAAGGAAUUG
Molecule: ribosomal RNA, 857 nt
Filed under: uncultured archaeon
Lineage: Archaea
Description: bacterial SSU rRNA
Rfam family: Archaeal small subunit ribosomal RNA
Source: RNAcentral